Alligator sinensis (Chinese alligator) is the source of this 238-nucleotide long non-coding RNA. RefSeq lists it as uncharacterized. Lineage: Eukaryota; Metazoa; Chordata; Crocodylia; Alligatoridae. The transcript has 3 exons. The record is from RefSeq and is a predicted model, not a curated record.
CAAGCAAUUUUCUGGGAGCAAGAGGAAGAAGAACCAAGCACUAGAUCCUGGUCUGGGAAGGGGCUGAGCCAGUCCAGACCCAGGAAAGCAAUCUGAGUGACCAGGGGAGCAGCACACGGGACACUUUGCAAGCAGUUUGCAGGUCAGUUUGCUGCCCCUCUCUUUGAAGGAGAGCCUGAAGAACGGAAGUGUGAUAACCUACUUGCAAAGAGAGACUUUAAUGACAACAAAAUCCCAC